This 276-nucleotide long non-coding RNA is filed under the name Brassica napus (rape). Its description in RNAcentral is "long non-coding RNA (BNAP_LNC010884)". Lineage: Eukaryota; Viridiplantae; Streptophyta; Magnoliopsida; Brassicales; Brassicaceae. The record is from RNAcentral.
GAGGAUUUGCGAGAUUGAGAGAAUGAAAGAAAUGUUUGUAUUAAAUUGUGUGUUUAAUUGUGUAACAUACAUAUGAUGUAUUUAAAGAAAACAAAAGCAAUAAGCACUCAGUGGUGGAAGAAUAAACAACUAGCAGUGGACUGGCCGCUCCUCUCCGUUUGGUAAGUGAUAUGGCCGCUCCUCCCACUUCCUCCACUACUUCUUUAUUUAAUCUUGCCGACAUCUCCCUUUGUUUAAUUCUUCAUGUCAACAUAUAUUUUCAGGUCUGAGUUAAAC